This is a long non-coding RNA of Triticum aestivum (bread wheat), 1961 nucleotides long. RefSeq lists it as uncharacterized. The transcript has 3 exons. Lineage: Eukaryota; Viridiplantae; Streptophyta; Magnoliopsida; Poales; Poaceae. The record is from RefSeq and is a predicted model, not a curated record.
CAGGGGCUCGCCUACUCUCCCUCUCGCCCAUGAAGUCAUCGCCACCGCCGCCGCCGCCCAUGUCGGCUGCUUCUGGCGCCUCCGGCGCAGCGCAGCACGCCCCAAGCUGCCCACGGUCGGCGCCUCCCUCCCCUCCAUCCAGACUCUCUGCUCCCGGCCUCUACAGCCCGCUCGCAACCACACACCCAUGGCUAGGGUUUCGGGCAUGGCUUCGCCGGCGCGUCUCAGGUGGUCCCAGGUUCGUCCUUCCUUCCUUCUUGGCCGAGAUUCGCUGCCCCUACACCUCGCCUUCUCUUCAAAUCCUCUGCUGGAGAUGCAGUUGGGGCACGCCAUGGGAGUUCCCCAUCCACCACGGUCGCCGCCGUCAAGGGAUUCUUCAAGGAGAUGUCAAGGACGCCAUGGACAUGCAGCUCCUCAAGGUUUUAUCCCUCCUUUCCUCUGAUAUCAAGUUCUAACAGUACAUUAAUCCAAGCAACUGUUUUCAGAUCAAUUAAGGAAUCAAUCUCAUGAUGGUUGAUGCUUGAUGCAGCGGAGGAUUGGGCCUCGCAUUAUUUUUUCCAGAAUUGGGUGUGGGUACUCUGAGUGAGCUAAAUCUGUGCAUCAAAAUUGUAGUCUGUAGCUUUAUGUGUUACGUCUUAAGAUUGAACUUGAAGAUUGCUUUUGGGAGUAGUUUUAGUUGGUAGAUGUUUCAGGCUCCAAAUACGCACACAUUAUGUGCUUAGUGUGUGGCAUAAACAUGAUCAGUUUUAUGCUUAGAAACCAAAUCACUGUCCACCCAUUUUAUUUCUUCAUGAGUAUUUUGUGUUGAAAUCAGAUCACCGUUCACCUGUUCUCGUACUGUUGUCUUUAACUUAUUUUGCCGGUUCUCAAUAAAAUGCUCAGUUCAGGAUGUGAUUUUCAGUUUUAGGGAUUUGAUACUUUUGGCACUGAGCAAAAAAAAAUUCCUCUGAGCGUGUACCUUCAAAUGCAAAGUUCUGACAAUGAUUUCGCAUGCGACCACACCGCCGUCGGUCGCUCUGCCUACCGAGUGCCACCCCGCCGCCUCCCCCACUCCCCCACCUGGGACCUCACCGCCCGCUCUAUCUAAUAUAUUUUCCAGUUUUCUUGCAGUCGCCAAUACAAAUGUCCGCUUGAGUGUCAAAAAGCAGCAGUCAUAAUGAAAAAAGAGUAUGGGUUCGUUGCUACAUUGUAGUAGUUAUGUACAUCUCAAAUUUUCAGCCCAGGAUUUUUAUUUUUACUAAUGUGAGUAUUUCUUAGUCACUCUUCAUCUUCCAGCUUUGACUGAAAAUAACUCUCCUGAAAACUGUUGGCAAUACUCACAAUGUGGUCUACAAAGAAACAUUUGAUGAUCUUGCUUGAUAACGUACCGGCGGGCAGAAAAUAUAUCAUUUCAUUAUUCAGGAUCGCAAGAGUCCAAUUGUUAUGUGGUUCAGGAAGCACCAAUUAUAAUACGAGUUAGACGGCUAUACAACUCAACUUAUCUACUGAAACAAGAUGCUUAGCGGAUCAACAAGAUGCUUACAGAUAUAGAACAGCAGGAGGGUGAAGUGUGGGUAUAACAUGGCAAAUGAUAGACCCGGUGAAGAAGGAAUGACAGUUGUGCGGAGGGUUAAGGGGUGUGGUUACAACGUGAACAUAAGAGAAAGACCCGGCCAAGUGGUCCAUUAGAAAAGGGCUGGAUAGAUUAUCAAACAAUGAGGGAAGCGAGGAAGAGCUCGGGAUGACGGCGUAAUGAUUAGCUGUCUUCAAGUAGAAGAUCCGGACAACCAUAAGGGCGUGCGAUUUUUUUUCCGAUGCAAUGCAUGGGCGCCACGACCGACCUCAACCUUCGGAUUUUACAGUACUGUAGUAUUCAUAGAAGUCUACUUUUUUGUUGUAUUCGUAGUAAAUUAUAGUUAAUUGAUGACUAACCUGUUGAAGGAUUUACUGUCCUAUAGCUUCUAUAAUUUACCGCACUAUAA